GAUGAAGAACGUAGCAAAAUGCGAUAAGUAAUGUGAAUUGCAGAAUUCAGUGAAUCAUCGAAUCUUUGAACGCACAUUGCGCCCCUUGGUAUCCCGAGGGGCAUGCCUGUUCGAGCGUCAUUUCACCACUCAAGCCUGGCUUGGUGUUGGGCGACGUCCUCUUUGGGGACGCGCCUCGAAACGCUCGGCGGCGUGGCACCGGCUUUAAGCGUAGCAGAAUCUUUCGCUUUGGAAGUCGGGGCCCCGUCUGCCGGAAGACCUGCUCGCAAGGUUGACCUCGGAUCAGGCAGGGAUACCCGCUGAACUUAAGCAUAUCAAUAAGCGGAGGA
This 329-nucleotide unclassified non-coding RNA is filed under the name soil metagenome. RNAcentral's name for it is "partial contains 5.8S ribosomal RNA, internal transcribed spacer 2, and large subunit ribosomal RNA". The stretch from base 1 to 120 matches the Rfam family "5.8S ribosomal RNA", at positions 35 to 154 of the family's 154-position model. The record is from RNAcentral.